CCCUGUCGCCAGGUGGCCUCCCUUUGUCCACGCCAUUGUAACACGUGUGUCGCCCCGGAUGUAAGGGCCGUGCUGAUUUGACGUCAUCCCCGCCUUCCUCGCAGCUUACGCUGGCAGUCCCACCAGAGUCCUCAGCCUAACCUGUUAGUAACUAGUGGCAAGGGUUGCGCUCGUUAUGGCACUUAAGCCGACACCUCACGGCACGAGCUGACGACAACCAUGCAGCACCUCGCAAACGGCUAUUGCUAGAAAAGGUGUUUCCACCUCGGUCCGAAUGCGUUCAAACCCGGGUAAGGUUCCUCGCGUAUCAUCGAAUUAAACCACAUGUUCCUCCGCUUGUGCGGGCCCCCGUCAAUUCCUUUGAGUUUCACCGUUGCCGGCGUACUCCCCAGGUGGAUCACUUAACGCUUUCGCUGUGCCGCUUACAGUGUAUCGCAAACAGCUAGUGAUCAUCGUUUACUGCGUGGACUACCAGGGUAUCUAAUCCUGUUUGAUCCCCACGCUUUCGUGCAUCAGCGUCAGUAAUGGCUUGGCAGGCUGCCUUCGCAAUCGGGGUUCUGCGUGAUAUCUAUGCAUUUCACCGCUACACCACGCAUUCCGCCUGCCUCAAACAUACUCAAGCCCCCCAGUUUCAACGGCNAAUUCUAUGGUUGAGCCACAGACUUUCACCGCUGACUUAAAAGGCCGCCUACGCACCCUUUAAACCCAAUAAAUCCGGAUAACGCUCGGAUCCUCCGUAUUACCGCGGCUGCUGGCACGGAGUUAGCCGAUCCUUAUUCAUAAGGUACAUACAAAACGGGACACGUCCCGCACUUUAUUCCCUUAUAAAAGAGGUUUACGAUCCAUAGAACCUUCAUCCCUCACGCGACUUGGCUGGUUCAGCCUCUCGGCCAUUGACCAAUAUUCCUCACUGCUGCCUCCCGUAGGAGUUUGGUCCGUGUCUCAGUACCAAUGUGGGGGACCUUCCUCUCAGAACCCCUAUCCAUCGUCGGUUUGGUGGGCCGUUACCCCGCCAACUGCCUAAUGGAACGCAUGCCUAUCUAUCAGCGAUGAAUCUUUAGCAAAUAUUCCCAUGCGGGAUCCCUGCUUCAUGCGGUAUUAG
This 1102-nucleotide ribosomal RNA is filed under the name Parabacteroides distasonis. Its description in RNAcentral is "partial 16S ribosomal RNA". The record is from RNAcentral. Lineage: Bacteria; Pseudomonadati; Bacteroidota; Bacteroidia; Bacteroidales; Tannerellaceae.